GACGGAGGGUGCUAGCGUUGUUCGGAAUUACUGGGCGUAAAGAGCGUGUAGGCGGCCAGGUAGGUCAGCUGUGAAAACUCGAGGCUCAACCUCGAGAUGUCGGCUGAAACCAUCUGGCUAGAGUCCGGAAGAGGAGAAUGGAAUUCCCGGUGUAGCGGUGAAAUGCGCAGAUAUCGGGAAGAACACCCGUGGCGAAGGCGGUUCUCUGGGACGGUACUGACGCUGAGACGCGAAAGCGUGGGGAGCGAACAGG
Molecule: ribosomal RNA, 253 nt
Filed under: uncultured bacterium
Lineage: Bacteria
Description: partial 16S ribosomal RNA
Rfam family: Bacterial small subunit ribosomal RNA
Source: RNAcentral